AUACUUACCUGGCAGGGGAGAUACCAUGAUCACGAAGGUGGUUUUCCCAGGGUGAGGCUUGUCCAUUGCACUCUGGACGUGCUGACCCCUGCGAUUUCCCCAAAUGUGGGAAACUCAACUGCAUAAUUUGUGGUAGUGGGGGACUGCGUUCAUGCUCUCCUCUG
RNAcentral lists this small nuclear RNA (164 nucleotides) under Myotis davidii. RNAcentral describes it as "U1 spliceosomal RNA". It matches the Rfam family "U1 spliceosomal RNA". Rfam says of the family: U1 is a small nuclear RNA (snRNA) component of the spliceosome (involved in pre-mRNA splicing). Its 5' end forms complementary base pairs with the 5' splice junction, thus defining the 5' donor site of an intron. There are significant differences in sequence and secondary structure between metazoan and yeast U1 snRNAs, the latter being much longer (568 nucleotides as compared to 164 nucleotides in human). The record is from Rfam by way of RNAcentral. Lineage: Eukaryota; Metazoa; Chordata; Mammalia; Chiroptera; Vespertilionidae.